Ceratitis capitata (Mediterranean fruit fly) is the source of this 1119-nucleotide long non-coding RNA. RefSeq lists it as uncharacterized. The record is from RefSeq and is a predicted model, not a curated record. The transcript is spliced from 4 exons. Lineage: Eukaryota; Metazoa; Arthropoda; Insecta; Diptera; Tephritidae.
UUCUUCGAAAAAAAAAUUUAUAGAAUAUCUAAAUAUCAGUGUUAAAGCAGUAAUCUUUUUAACACGAAACGAUAAUGUAAACGUUAACAAAUAAUGUUAAAUGUUAACAGAUAAUGUUAAACCUUAAAAUUGAAGUAUGCCGUCAAAUCAUACGAAACGGAAUGAAAUUGCAUUUGUUGAGCCUCUCGGAUUUUUAUGAAGCUUCAAACUCAAUAUUAUUGAAGGCAGCCAGAACAGUGGCAAUCUAAAUGUUUUAGAAUAUGCAAGGCCCAGAAAUAGAAUAUCCAAGAGAAAAAAACAGCAUUUUCUGCAUCUGCACAAAAAGCGCUUUUUUAUCGAAUAUUAACGGGAGAUGAGGAAUGGUACGUCAAUGUGAAGCAAAGAAAGGAGUGGGUGACCGCAGGAGAGAACCCGAAACCAAGAGUCAAGUUUUCACCUAAAAAAGUCACGAUCUGGGUUUGGUGGGACUAAGAAGGCAUGGUGCACCGGGAAAUGCUCGAUCGAAAAGCCACUGUCAACAAGGAGCUCUACAUUGCCCAUCUGAAUUGUGCACAUGACGUUAUUCGGCUGAGUCAUCUUGCUCCAUGACGACGCAAUGCGCCAUUUUGCCCACCAAGUCGUCAAAACAGCACUACAAGAGCUCGAAGUGGAGGUUCUUCCGCAUCCACUCUACUCUCGGGAUCUUGCCCCUACCGAUUCUCAACUUUUCCGCUCCCUGUAAAAUCACAUGAGGGGUGUUACCUUGAAUGGCGAAGAGGACCUUCAAAUCUGGCUCAACAACUUCUUCGGCAACAAAUCGGGCGAUUUUUGGCAAAACGGUAUUCACAAAUUGGUGGAGAGGUGUAGGAGGUCGCAAACAGUAACGUAGAAUCCAUCAUUGUUUAAUUUAUUAUUAUAAUUAUUGCUUUUUUCAAAUAAAUCUCUGUGAAAAAACUCUAGGAACUUAUGUUAGAACCCAAAAUAUUUGGGUAUGUAUGCGCGGAUUUAUUUGCUUGCACACUUUGAACGUUGUGGUCAAUGGUGUCGGUAAUUGUCGGCCGGUGAAACUCAUACUUACAUACAUAUAUCAUUAUAACCAUGUACAAGUUAUGCACCUAAAUGUGAGCGAAUACAUUUGCC